AGUGAACGCUGGCGGCAGGCCUAACACAUGCAAGUCGAGCGGCAGCGCGGGGGCAACCCUGGCGGCGAGCGGCGGACGGGUGAGGAAUUCGUCGGAAUCUGCCUUUUUGUGGGGGAUAACGUAGGGAAACUUACGCUAAUACCGCAUACGUCCUACGGGAGAAAGUGGGGGACCGCAAGGCCUCACGCAGAAAGAUGAGCCGACGACCGAUUAGCUAGUUGGUGGGGUAAAGGCCCACCAAGGCGACGAUCGGUAGCUGGUCUGAGAGGAUGAUCAGCCACACUGGGACUGAGACACGGCCCAGACUCCUACGGGAGGCAGCAGUGGGGAAUAUUGGACAAUGGGCGCAAGCCUGAUCCAGCCAUGCCGCGUGUGUGAAGAAGGCCUUCGGGUUGUAAAGCACUUUUGUCCGGAAAGAAAUCCCUUGAGCUAAUACCUUCGGGGGAUGACGGUACCGGAAGAAUAAGCACCGGCUAACUUCGUG
Molecule: ribosomal RNA, 484 nt
Filed under: uncultured bacterium
Lineage: Bacteria
Description: partial 16S ribosomal RNA
Rfam family: Bacterial small subunit ribosomal RNA
Source: RNAcentral